AGACAAAUUUCAUUGAGAAAGAUUGACAAGUAGAUUAGAUAUAUACAGGAAAUUAGAUACUGGAAAUCAGGCUAGAUACAUUCAAAAGGGAAAAGGGUUGUACCCAGGGAGAACUGCUUUUAACAGAGGGACUUGGAAAAGGGCAGACACUUUAAUUGUUAUUAGAUGUGAAGGAUAUCUAGGGUUUAAAUUAGUCUAGCACAAAAAAAGAUUAUCUCAAUGAGAGACUGAAGUGUUAUCCCCCCAAGCCUCCCAAGAGUCCUAGAGAAAACAUUCAGAGGUCCCUCUUCAAGUUGUAGAUAGAAGCGAAAAAACAUUUGGAAACAUUCCUUGUGGAUGAUCAUAAGCUUUGGGAGAUGACCACCACAUUGACAUAGCUACCAAAGAAAAAGAUAAAGAUACUCUCUGUGCCCUGAGGGAACAAGUUGAAGUAAUUUAUGGAGUUAGG
This 448-nucleotide long non-coding RNA is filed under the name Bos taurus (domestic cattle). Its description in RNAcentral is "long non-coding RNA NONBTAT007395". The record is from RNAcentral. Lineage: Eukaryota; Metazoa; Chordata; Mammalia; Artiodactyla; Bovidae.